This is a long non-coding RNA of Xyrauchen texanus (razorback sucker), 318 nucleotides long. RefSeq lists it as uncharacterized. The record is from RefSeq and is a predicted model, not a curated record. The transcript has 3 exons. NCBI's taxonomy places the organism in Eukaryota, Metazoa, Chordata, Actinopteri, Cypriniformes, Catostomidae.
CAGUUUGAGAGUUUGUGCAGGUGUGGAUGAUUGGCGGGGUGGGGGUGCCUGUAACCCCCAAUAAUCAAAACAAGCAGAUGCUUUCUUUCCUGAAGAGGUUUGAGCAUCAAAUGCAGAGCUUGUUGCAGACACAUCUGCCCAGGGAUGCACGAUUCACCACAAACUCCUCAAAUACUCUACUGAGCUCUCCCUCCCAUCUCAAGCUCUUGCAACCUUGGAAAUGUGAAUGAGCUGAGAGAGAAGCUUGAGCCAGCUAAUGAAGAGACCAGGAAUCGUCCUCACAUGUACACAAGAACCCAAAAAUAGUAUGCAGUUGAC